Molecule: long non-coding RNA, 841 nt
Organism: Suricata suricatta (meerkat)
Lineage: Eukaryota; Metazoa; Chordata; Mammalia; Carnivora; Herpestidae
Exons: 2
Source: RefSeq, a predicted model, not a curated record
UUGUAAAAAUAGGGGAGGCUUUCAGGGGCUGGGAGUAUAUGUGGAAAUACAGAGAAGCUGGUGGAGCUGUAGAAGCGUGAGAAGAAAGGAAUCCACUAGGAGGCCUGACAAUUGGGAAAUAAAAUACAAGAGAGAUCGUGGUCAUCACAUCCCAGAUUAAAAGCAACCCAUCACAAUUUCUGUCGGAAAUGAACAUUUUUAAUCUGCCUAUUUGUCCACCUCUUCUCCUGGCCUCACCAUUCUUCCUUAUCACCAUGGGUUAAACCUGUCUUGAGGAUUGCACACCAGACCCCAGACCAAGGGCUGCGUGAUGAGCACUCAUCCAUCCUUUGCCGAGAUUCUAAUGUUCCACUCUAGAUGACCUGGGCUCCUGGCUCCUGAAACUGCUUCUUCGGUGGCCAGGCCUCGAGGCCCCAGGAUCUGCCCACAUUCCGGAGACAGUUAGGGUUUCUCAUUGAUGUCUGCCUGGGCCCUAUCCUCAGAUUAGCCGCCACUAAAAUGCAAUCUCUGUCUUGAGAAAUGAACAGCCUGACCCCUGGGAAGUGCUGCUGAUGCACUGCUGCUUCUCUGAGACCUGUCAUCUCCAGCUUCUCGCCACUCCCAGGCGCAGCCCAUUGGUGAAAAGAAGCCAUCACUGUGCUCUCACUGCUGAGCGCUCACCCAUCACUCCUUCGGGAGUGCAGAGGAGUCCUUCCUUCACAGCUUGACCUCUCUGUCCACAUCUAGCAUCAACAGAGGACAGUUUCCUCAACUAGAGAAAGGGAAUGCCCUUGGGUUCUAGAUAGCAGAGUUGAGACUCUUUUGCCCAGAGUGAAAAUAAAAGAGCAGGGUCUAGAAAGGA